UACGAAGGUUCCACUGUUUUUAAGAAUCUCUAAUGAAAUUGAGAUAGGGGUGAAGACGCCCCAUACAAGUUGUCAGACGAAAAGUCCCCAUGGAACUUUACUGGAGACUUAUGACAUGGAAAUCUGACUAGAGACAAAAGACUUUAGUCGUAUAAGAAGUUGCAAGUAAGGGAGACAGUUUCAUUGGGGCGAUGGCUUUUUAAAAAGUAACAAAAGUGAGCUAGAAAUAUAAGUUUGAUUGUAAGGGGGAGAUCCCGAGCAAACACUUUUGGUGGGCAAAAGUGACCCGUUUUUUUUUAAUGGAAAAGUCAACGAUAAACA
RNAcentral lists this ribosomal RNA (321 nucleotides) under Thecopsammia socialis. RNAcentral describes it as "partial large subunit ribosomal RNA". It matches the Rfam family "Bacterial large subunit ribosomal RNA", at positions 2003 to 2454 of the family's 2925-position model. Lineage: Eukaryota; Metazoa; Cnidaria; Anthozoa; Scleractinia; Dendrophylliidae. The record is from RNAcentral.